GAUGGAUGGAUGGAUGGAUGGACGGACGGAUGGACGGAUAGGACACCAAGGGGGAGGAGAUGCCCUCAAAGAAGUCGGCAAUCCGAUCGCACAUGUCGAAGUUUUUAAAGGAAAAGAAAGCAGUGACCUUGAACCGUGGACCUAAUGGUCUUUAAAUAUAGAUGGAUGCGUGUGUUCCUGGGGCAGAUGGCCAUGAUGCUUUGCUAUGCAUAUGGCUCACUGAUUAUGUCUCCAGCAGGGUGUCAGAACUGAUGAGGCAGCACUGGAGCAGAGUGUUGUGCCAUUUGCAUUGGAGCUUUACUGCUUAGUUGCAUGGAUGGCCACACUGCGUCUCUUAAUGUCAGAGGGCGAAUCUUGAAAACAAACAUGUGUCAGAGUCGAGCCUUCAGGACUGCUUUCAGUGCGGUUUUCUUGGUGGAAAAAAGUUUUUUAAUGUACUAGAGUAGUCUGAACAUUCUAAUGAUCUAAAUUUUGAAUUUAAAAGUGUUUAAGAGCUAUUGCAGAUGUUAGAAUGUCAUUGUAAUGAAUUAUGGUGAGUCCUUGUACUUGUUUUGUACUGAUUACUUUAACAGAUUUUGAGAACUGUACACAUCAUAGCCACGUCAUGUUAAAUAAUCCUUCCGCUGGGAUAAAGUACUCCAACUUUCGCUGUACAUUUUUAGAUUGUUCCCUGUAUAUUCUGACUUAGAUGGCAGAAUUUUAGAAAUGGAUUUUCAUAGUUGAUAAUAAUCCUGUCAUCUUUUCUAAAUAUUUCCUUUGUUUUCAUUUGUACUUGUUCGUAGUUUUUAUU
This is a non-coding RNA of Danio rerio (zebrafish), 790 nucleotides long. The record is from RefSeq and is a predicted model, not a curated record. NCBI's taxonomy places the organism in Eukaryota, Metazoa, Chordata, Actinopteri, Cypriniformes, Danionidae.